GGGCUACUCAGGGAACCUGGCUGUUUGGAAGCCAACCCUUCUCUGUCUGGAGACCAAAGUGCUCCCUACCAGGAGAUGCUGGGUCCCCAGCUCUGCAAAGGGCAAGGGCAGGGAGGGCUAGGAAUUUUCACUUCCCUUAGCUGCGGUCUAACUUCCCCAUUUCGGUGGGUAUUUAUAGAAUGUGUGUGGGGGGGGCUGGAAUCUGAUGCAAGAGCUCUCAGAAAUGGCACCCAGUUGAGUGUGUGGAGGCAGCCUGCUGAGCUACACCUGGGAGCCCAGGAAGGGGAGGGCCCUUCCCCUGGUUCUGACCCCCCAGACCUCAAGAGGCUGUGUGAUCUGGAGAGAGCUGAUGCCCUCUCUGGGCUUCAGCUCCUGCUAGGGACAUGGGGUGGGGCUCUCUUCUAGCCAGGGGCAGUGGUGCGCAGGGCGGGUCCAGGCCUGGGAAACGGGCAUCAGAGAAGGACCCUGGUUGUCCUUCCCCACCAGCUUUUCUAGAAAACCUCGGCCCAAGGGAGGCUCGGGGCUCAGUCCUGGGUGGCAUAUGACUCCUGAGGGUGACAUCCCAGACCCAGAUGCGUGUGUGUGUGUGUGUGUGUGUGGCUGUUCACACAUGCUCCCAGGAUGGCAGCUCCCACGGACUCGUCCUAAAGCCCCCAGAAGGGACUGGGGGCCUCACGCUGGGCCCUGUGGCCCCCUGAGGGCUGGGGUGCUGCUCGGGAGGAAGCAGCCCCGGGGCACUGAACCGGGAGGGUUCCUAGAUUCUGGGAUCCUGCCUCGGGGGACAGCAGAUGGCAGGACGGCAGUUCAGCACACUCACACUCUGGACCCUGGAGGGGGGUCAGAGCCACCUUUAUGGAUCUCACUGAAGCCCUCAUCAGCUCCAGCGUCUGCCCGGCCUCGGGGAGACCCCAGACCCCUCCAGUCAGAGGGUGCAGAGGGACUUUGGUACAGAAAGCGACUGGCCAGCUGUCCAGAGGUCUGUUCAGAGAGAGCCCCAGCAGUGGGGUCCUCACGCCUCGGACUGGUCACCUGCCUUUCAGGGACCCCUGGCCUGUGGGUAGCGG
RNAcentral lists this long non-coding RNA (1064 nucleotides) under Marmota monax (woodchuck). Lineage: Eukaryota; Metazoa; Chordata; Mammalia; Rodentia; Sciuridae. The record is from RNAcentral.